RNAcentral lists this ribosomal RNA (478 nucleotides) under uncultured bacterium. Its description in RNAcentral is "partial 16S ribosomal RNA". It matches the Rfam family "Bacterial small subunit ribosomal RNA", at positions 28 to 507 of the family's 1533-position model. The record is from RNAcentral.
GAUGAACGCUGGCGGCGUGCUUAACACAUGCAAGUCGAACGGGAAUUAUUUUAUUGAAACUUCGGUCGAUUUAAUUUAAUUCUAGUGGCGGACGGGUGAGUAACGCGUGGGUAACCUGCCUUAUACAGGGGGAUAACAGUCAGAAAUGGCUGCUAAUACCGCAUAAGCGCACAGAGCUGCAUGGCUCAGUGUGAAAAACUCCGGUGGUAUAAGAUGGACCCGCGUUGGAUUAGCUUGUUGGCAGGGUAACGGCCUACCAGGGCGACGAUCCAUAGCCGGCCUGAGAGGGUGAACGGCCACAUUGGGACUGAGACACGGCCCAGACUCCUACGGGAGGCAGCAGUGGGGAAUAUUGCACAAUGGGGGAAACCCUAAUGCAGCGACGCCGCGUGAAGGAAGAAGUAUCUCGGUAUGUAAACUUCUAUCAGCAGGGAAGAUAGUGACGGUACCUGACGAAGAAGCCCCGGCUAACUACGUG